CUCUUUCCCCUAAGGUCGCUGGGCUUGGGCCAGGAAGAUGGCAAGCGGGGCAAGGUUGUCUGUCUCAACAGCGACACCAUGUGGCAGGACCAGCAACGACAGUCAAAAAUCCUGAGCACCAUGGUUUUCCGGGUUUUCUCUGCUGAAGACGAUAGUAUCCAGGAAUCUUGGAGUACCUCUGGUGGGAGUUAUCACAGGAAAGAGGACAGCAGGAAAAGAAAAGAUACAUUCUCACUGAACAUAAUGGACUUAGAAAGCAGCAAGUGUCCAAAAUUUUUGCUAUGGACAAAAUGUUAAUGAAUGUAAACCUCCCAGUGUGAAAGCUAAGCAGGCUCAUCAGGUGAUGGCAGAGAUACAAGAGAGCAGAUUCCACCUCACAAGCAAUCCUCUAAUCCCUGACUGCAUCGUGUCUAUGAACAUCCCAUUAGCCAAAGGAUAUCACAUGGCUGGGCCCAUAGUCAAAGGGUGAGUCACAGAGGAGGGAGGGUCUGCAAAGCCAAUGGGCAUAGAAAUAGGGAGGGGUGAGGAUGGCAACCAACAGAGGCAGAAAGGUGGGUGAUGGGAGAGGAGAACUAAAUUCUACCAAAGCAAAAACUAAUAGAAAAUAUUCUAUAAGAUUGAUUGGGUAGUGGUGGGUGUUUAUUAUCUAGAGAAGCAGAUUAAUACUCAGAGACGUGAAAACUGAAACAGAGUUGUUUCCUUCCAGAGAUUAGUACCAAGAUGGGGAGGGGUGGGUUAAGGUUUAUCAACUUUUCAUUUGUUGUUUGAAUUUCUAAACUCUGUACAAAUAUCGGGACGCCUGAGUGGCUCAGUUGGUUAAGUGUCUGACUUCGGCUCAGGUCACGAUCUCACAGUUUGUGAGUGUGAGCCCUGCAUCAGACUCACUGCUGUCAGCACAGAGCCAGCUUCAGAUCCUCUGCCCCCCUCUCUCUCUGCCCCUCCCCUGCUUGUAGGUGUGUACGCUCUCUUUCUCUCUCUCAAAAAUAAAUAUUAAAAAGAAAUUUAACUGUGUGUAAAU
RNAcentral lists this long non-coding RNA (1018 nucleotides) under Felis catus (domestic cat). Its description in RNAcentral is "lncRNA (ENSFCAG00000050713.1)". Lineage: Eukaryota; Metazoa; Chordata; Mammalia; Carnivora; Felidae. The record is from RNAcentral.